Molecule: long non-coding RNA, 813 nt
Filed under: Ficedula albicollis (Collared flycatcher)
Lineage: Eukaryota; Metazoa; Chordata; Aves; Passeriformes; Muscicapidae
Description: lncRNA (ENSFALG00000026975.1)
Source: RNAcentral
AUGAACUGGGAUAAACUGGGAGGGAGUGGGAUAAACUGGGAGACACUGGGAGAGACUGGGAUGAGCUGGGAUAAACUGGAAGGGACUGAGGUAAACUGGGAUGGACUGGGAUUAACUGGGAGGGACUGGGAGGUUCCCAGGGGUUCCCCAGUCCCGGCUCAGGUUGAUCCCAAAUCCCGAAUUUUGGGGAUCCCCAAACCCAGCCCAGGGGAUCCCGGAGGGGAUCCCAGAUCCCGAAUUCCACCCCGGGAAUUCCCAAAUUCCACCUCGGGGAAUCCCCAAAUUCCACCCCGGGGAAUUCCCAAAGGGAUUCCCCAAAUCCUGCCUGGGGUCCCCAAAUCCGACUCAGGUGAUUCUCGAGGGAUCCCCACGUUCGUUCCAGAGAAUUCCCAGUUUGGGAAUCACCACAUCCAGGUGGGGGAUCCCAAGGGGGAUCCCCAAAUCCCCCCCAGCUGUGACCAUGGAGGAGCUGCAGGACCCCCCCUUUUCCCAGGGGAUCCCUCACCUGUCCGAGGAGGAGGAAGAGGAGGAAGGGACAGGUGAGGAAGGAACAGGUGAACAACCAGGUGAGGAGGAAAUGCCAGGUGACGAUGAUGAUGAUGAAGACCCGGGUGACGAUGAAGACCCCGCUGAGGAGGAUCCAGGUGAUGAUGAUGAUGAAGACCCAGGUGAGGAAGAGCAGCAGGAGGAACCGGGUGAACCCUCCACCUCCCGCCCGCUCCCGCCCGCGCCGCGCCGGCCCCCCCCCCCCCCCCCCCCCCCCCCCCCCCCCCCCCCCCCCCCCCCCCCCCCCCCCCCCCCCCCCCCCCCCCC